AUUGAACGCUGGCGGCAUGCUUUACACAUGCAAGUCGAACGGCAGCGCGGGGCAACCUGGCGGCGAGUGGCGAACGGGUGAGUAAUAUAUCGGAACGUACCCAAGAGUGGGGGAUAACGUAGCGAAAGUUACGCUAAUACCGCAUACGAUCUAUGGAUGAAAGCAGGGGGCCUUCGGGCCUUGUGCUCCUGGAGCGGCCGAUAUCUGAUUAGCUCGUUGGUGAGGUAAAGGCUCACCAAGGCGACGAUCAGUAGCGGGUCUGAGAGGACGACCAGCCACACUGGAACUGAGACACGGUCCAGACUCCUACGGGAGGCAGCAGUGGGGAAUAUUGGACAAUGGACGAAAGCCUGAUCCAGCCAUGCCGCGUGUGUGAAGAAGGUCUUCGGAUUGUAAAGCACUUUAAGUCGGGAGGAAGGGCUGUAGGCUAAUACCUUGCAGUUUUGACGUUACCGACAGAAUAAGCACCGGCUAACUUCGUGCCAGCCGCCGCAGUAA
RNAcentral lists this ribosomal RNA (498 nucleotides) under uncultured bacterium. RNAcentral's name for it is "partial 16S ribosomal RNA". It matches the Rfam family "Bacterial small subunit ribosomal RNA", at positions 30 to 523 of the family's 1533-position model. The record is from RNAcentral.